This is a non-coding RNA of Mycena latifolia, 81 nucleotides long. NCBI's taxonomy places the organism in Eukaryota, Fungi, Basidiomycota, Agaricomycetes, Agaricales, Mycenaceae. The record is from the annotation of a GenBank genome assembly.
GGCCGUCUAGCUCAGUUGGUUAGAGCGUCGUGCUAAUAACUGUUAACGCGAAGGUCUUGGGUUCGACCCCCACGAUGGCCA